Molecule: small nuclear RNA, 102 nt
Filed under: Microcebus murinus (gray mouse lemur)
Lineage: Eukaryota; Metazoa; Chordata; Mammalia; Primates; Cheirogaleidae
Source: RNAcentral
AUGCUCACUUUGGCAGCACAUAUACUGAAAUUGGAAGGAUAAAGAUUAACAUGGCCCCUGCACAAGGAUGACACACAAAUUUGUGAAGCGUUCCAUCUUCUU